Molecule: ribosomal RNA, 837 nt
Filed under: uncultured bacterium
Lineage: Bacteria
Description: bacterial SSU rRNA
Rfam family: Bacterial small subunit ribosomal RNA
Source: RNAcentral
AGUCGAGCGAGCGGAACUAAAGAUUUACUUCGGUAAUGACGUUAGGAAAGCGAGCGGCGGAUGGGUGAGUAACACGUGGGGAACCUGCCCCAUAGUCUGGGAUACCACUUGGAAACAGGUGCUAAUACCGGAUAAGAAAGCAGAUCGCAUGAUCAGCUUUUAAAAGGCGGCGUAAGCUGUCGCUAUGGGAUGGCCCCGCGGUGCAUUAGCUAGUUGGUAAGGUAAAGGCUUACCAAGGCGAUGAUGCAUAGCCGAGUUGAGAGACUGAUCGGCCACAUUGGGACUGAGACACGGCCCAAACUCCUACGGGAGGCAGCAGUAGGGAAUCUUCCACAAUGGACGCAAGUCUGAUGGAGCAACGCCGCGUGAGUGAAGAAGGUUUUCGGAUCGUAAAGCUCUGUUGUUGGUGAAGAAGGAUAGAGGUAGUAACUGGCCUUUAUUUGACGGUAAUCAACCAGAAAGUCACGGCUAACUACGUGCCAGCAGCCGCGGUAAUACGUAGGUGGCAAGCGUUGUCCGGAUUUAUUGGGCGUAAAGCGAGCGCAGGCGGAAGAAUAAGUCUGAUGUGAAAGCCCUCGGCUUAACCGAGGAACUGCAUCGGAAACUGUUUUUCUUGAGUGCAGAAGAGGAGAGUGGAACUCCAUGUGUAGCGGUGGAAUGCGUAGAUAUAUGGAAGAACACCAGUGGCGAAGGCGGCUCUCUGGUCUGCAACUGACGCUGAGGCUCGAAAGCAUGGGUAGUGAACAGGAUUAGAUACCCUGGUAGUCCAUGCCGUANACGAUGAGUGCUAAGUGUUGGGAGGUUUCCGCCUCUCAGUGCUGCAGCUAACGCAUUAAG